UACGUAGGGGGCAAGCGUUGUCCGGAAUCAUUGGGCGUAAAGCGCGUGUAGGUGGCAAGAUAAGUCGGGUGUGAAAGCCCUUGGCUCAACCAAGGAAGUGCAUUCGAUACUGGCUCGCUUGAGUACCGGAGGGGAUGCGGAAUUCCAGGUGUAGCGGUGAAAUGCGUAGAUAUCAGGAGGAACACCUGCGGUGUAGACGGCUUUCUGGACCAUUGCUGACGCUGAGACACGAAAGCGUGGGUAGCAAACAGG
RNAcentral lists this ribosomal RNA (252 nucleotides) under uncultured bacterium. Its description in RNAcentral is "partial 16S ribosomal RNA". It matches the Rfam family "Bacterial small subunit ribosomal RNA", at positions 524 to 776 of the family's 1533-position model. The record is from RNAcentral.